CAGUCGCCACGGUAAAACGUAGGGUGCAAGCGUUAAUCGGAAUUACUGGGCGUAAAGCGUGCGCAGGCGGUUAUAUAAGACAGAUGUGAAAUCCCCGGGCUCAACCUGGGAACUGCAUUUGUGACUGUAUAGCUAGAGUACGGCAGAGGGGGAUGGAAUUUCGCGUGUAGCAGUGAAAUGCGUAGAUAUGCGGAGGAACACCGAUGGCGAAGGCAAUCCCCUGGGCCUGUACUGACGCUCAUGCACGAAAGCGUGGGGAGCAAACAGGAUUAGAUACCCCGGUAGUCCCUGUCUCUUAUAC
RNAcentral lists this ribosomal RNA (301 nucleotides) under uncultured bacterium. RNAcentral's name for it is "partial 16S ribosomal RNA". It matches the Rfam family "Bacterial small subunit ribosomal RNA", at positions 509 to 807 of the family's 1533-position model. The record is from RNAcentral.